CAAAAACAAAGAAUCAAAAUAGGAACCAAAUAACCGUUUGCAAGUGGUUGUGUUGUCCCUCAUCCUACAUGCAACGGAUAAACAGUGAGGAAAAGAGAGAAAAAAAAAACAGUCGUGCUUUGGUAAUUAGAAAUUGCAAGCCAAAAAAAAUCUUAACUGAGAAAAAUCAUGAAACUCGAAAUUUAAUAAAUCCAAAAGCUACUUGCCCAGAAAUCAUUAAAAAUGAGGGGGAAAAAUCAUAGUUUACAAAAAUCAAAAUAAUAAACCAAAAUAUCCAAGAAUCAAAAUACCAACAAGAUGGCUGGAAAUAAGAAAGUGAGAGUUGAAAAAUCUGAAAUGAAGCAAAAUCAACCGAGAUCGAUCUGGAUUCAUCAGAUUG
RNAcentral lists this unclassified non-coding RNA (379 nucleotides) under Hevea brasiliensis (rubber tree). Lineage: Eukaryota; Viridiplantae; Streptophyta; Magnoliopsida; Malpighiales; Euphorbiaceae. The record is from RNAcentral.